GAUGAACGCUGGCGGCGUGCCUAAUACAUGCAAGUCGAGCGAACGGACGAGAAGCUUGCUUCUUUGUUGUUAGCGGAGGAGGGGUGAGUAACACGUGGAUACCCUACCUAUAAGACUGGGAUAAUUUCGGGAAACCGGAGCUAAUCCCGUAUAAUCUUUUGAACCGCAUGGUUGAAAAGUGAAAGACGGUCUUGCUGUCACUUCUAGCUGGUUCCGCGCUGCAUUAGCUAGUUGGUAAGGUAACGGCGUACCAAGGCAAGUAUGCAUAGCCGACGUGAGAGGGGGAUCGGCCACACGGGAACGGAGACACGGUCCUGACGCCUGCGAGAGGCAGCAGUAGGGAAUCUUCCGCAAUGGGCGAAAGCCUGACGGAGCAGCGCCGCGUGAGAGAUGAAGGUCUUCGGAGCGUAAAACUCUGUUAUGAGGGAAGAACAUAUGUGUAAGUAACUGUGCACAGCUUGACGGUACCUGAUCAGAAAGCCACGGCUAACUACGUG
This 497-nucleotide ribosomal RNA is filed under the name uncultured bacterium. RNAcentral's name for it is "partial 16S ribosomal RNA". It matches the Rfam family "Bacterial small subunit ribosomal RNA", at positions 28 to 507 of the family's 1533-position model. The record is from RNAcentral.